Molecule: non-coding RNA, 71 nt
Organism: Microbotryomycetes sp. JL221
Lineage: Eukaryota; Fungi; Basidiomycota; Microbotryomycetes
Source: the annotation of a GenBank genome assembly
GUCGACUUAGUUCAACGGUAGAACCUUAACUUGUGGUGUUAAUGGUCCCAGUUCGAUUCUGGGAGUUGAUC